Molecule: ribosomal RNA, 433 nt
Filed under: uncultured bacterium
Lineage: Bacteria
Description: partial 16S ribosomal RNA
Rfam family: Bacterial small subunit ribosomal RNA
Source: RNAcentral
AGCGAACGCUGGCGGCAGGCCUAACACAUGCAAGUCGAACGAACUCUUCGGAGUUAGUGGCGGACGGGUGAGUAACACGUGGGAACGUGCCUUUUGGUUCGGAAUAACUCAGGGAAACUUGUGCUAAUACCGAAUGUGCCCUUCGGGGGAAAGAUUUAUCGCCACUAGAGCGGCCCGCGUCUGAUUAGCUAGUUGGUGAGGUAACGGCUCACCAAGGCGACGACCAGUAGCUGGUCUGAGAGGAUGACCAGCCACACUGGGACUGAGACACGGCCCAGACUCCUACGGGAGGCAGCAGUGGGGAAUCUUGCGCAAUGGGCGAAAGCCUGACGCAGCCAUGCCGCGUGAAUGAUGAAGGUCUUAGGAUUGUAAAAUUCUUUCACCGGGGACGAUAAUGACGGUACCCGGAGAAGAAGCCCCGGCUAACUUCGUG